This 443-nucleotide ribosomal RNA is filed under the name uncultured bacterium. Its description in RNAcentral is "partial 16S ribosomal RNA". It matches the Rfam family "Bacterial small subunit ribosomal RNA", at positions 338 to 795 of the family's 1533-position model. The record is from RNAcentral.
CCUACGGGAGGCAGCAGUGGGGAAUAUUGCACAAUGGGCGAAAGCCUGAUGCAGCAACGCCGCGUGAAGGAAGACGGUUUUCGGAUUGUAAACUUCUAUCAAUAGGGAAGAAAGAAAUGACGGUACCUAAAUAAGAAGCCCCGGCUAACUACGUGCCAGCAGCCGCGGUAAUACGUAGGGGGCAAGCGUUAUCCGGAUUUACUGGGUGUAAAGGGCGUGUAGCCGGGAAGGCAAGUCAGAUGUGAAAUCCGGAGGCUCAACCUCCGAAUUGCAUUUGAAACUGUUUUUCUUGAGUACUGGAGAGGCAGACGGAAUUCCUUGUGUAGCGGUGAAAUGCGUAGAUAUAAGGAGGAACACCAGUGGCGAAGGCGGUCUGCUGGACAGCAACUGACGGUGAGGCGCGAAAGCGUGGGGAGCAAACAGGAUUAGAUACCCCAGUAGUC